UACGAUGCGGAAGCUCCGCAAUUGCGGAUGCGGAUGCGAAUAUCCGCAACAUCACUAGUUCAGAUAUGCCCUGCGUAUCAUUCCUUGGGAAAUAGCAGCAAUCUCUUGGCUGAUGAUCCGCUUCAACUAUGGUAGUGUUCGAGAUUUGUGGGGGGGAAACUUUUGUCUUUAAGUAAUCUUACAAGAAAUAGUUACAUAUAGACAGAUCUGGAGAACGAACAGGCCUUGGAACAUCACCUCCCUUUUCAUGUAAUAGCCCAGCGAAUAAACAGCACACCACACUAUUACACGAAAAGGGAAAGAAUGUUCUUAGCCCAGACCCGGGUUUCCCAGGUCCGGUAUCUCCAGAAAAAUUUUUUCUGGGUUCCGGGCUCGGAUGGCGAUUUCGGUCCUUCAUCAUCCGAUCCCUCCACGGGUGUGGGUACAGUCCGUGAUUGGAACUGGCCCUGCCUCUUAGUAAUCUCACUGAUUAGAAAGGGGCAUAAAAUAACAAAAAAAAAAAAAAACAAAUAAAACCUAUA
This 521-nucleotide long non-coding RNA is filed under the name Androctonus crassicauda. Lineage: Eukaryota; Metazoa; Arthropoda; Arachnida; Scorpiones; Buthidae. The record is from RNAcentral.